This 188-nucleotide non-coding RNA is filed under the name Rhizobium sp. The record is from RNAcentral. Lineage: Bacteria; Pseudomonadati; Pseudomonadota; Alphaproteobacteria; Hyphomicrobiales; Rhizobiaceae. RNAcentral also lists the same sequence under 1 other name.
GGCAUAACGCCUCCGUCAGGUGCCUGCCUUGCGCAGGAGAAUCGGGAAUCCGGUGGGAAACCGGAACGUGCCCAACGCUGUGAGGCGGACGCUUGGCCGCAAUUCGAAAGCCACUGGAAUUUCCGGGAAGGCGGCGGCAGGGGCGGAUGAAGCCAAGUCAGAAGACCGGCCUGGCAAGAUAGAUCGAA